CCAAACAAGAGAGAAUUCUCCAGCAGACUGCCUUCAGACUUCAACUGCAGCAUUGGCUGUACCUGGUUUUCCAGCUCACUGUCUUUGGACUUGAACUGCUCCUGAGUCUCCAGCCAAUCAGCCUCCCAGAAAUUGCCACAGUCACCUCAACCUUCAGCAACCACCAACUUGAUCAAUCAGCAGCCAAUAACGUGAAGUCAUGACCAUUCACCAGCAAAAAGUUUAUGAUUCACCAAAAUAUUAGAUGAUCAUUAACAUUUUUAGCAAUAAUGUAUUUGUCAUUAAGGUGUUAGUGCAUUGGAAAAUCAUUUAAAGAAUGUAUCAGCUAAUUGAAGGCUUAUGUGUAAACAAGAUUCCUGCCAGGCUUUGACUACUACCCUUGGCCUUCCUAUACAGGGUUGUAAAGAAUCAUCAUGAUGUAUGUUUGAAAUUAUGUUUAACAGUAUUACAGUCAAUAUAGACUAAAUUUUGAUGCAGUAACAACCUCAGAACUUUUACAAUCAUUGCUGGACUGAGAGAGAAAGAGAGAGUGAACAGGGAAUGUCACAUGAGCAGAGAAUGUCACUAUCUCAACUGUAAAAAACAAACAUUACUUCUACUCACAUUUCAUUGCCCAGAACUAGUCCUAUACCUGUGCCUAACUGGAAAUGAGCACAAACUAUCGUGUCUGUCAUGCUCAAGGAGAGGAAAUUGGUUAUUGGUCAGUGUCAAUAUUGUCCACAAAUGUGAAUUACAUUUUAUAAGGUGUUGACUCUGCCUGUCACCCACAAAAGAGCUUUGAGUACAAUUGGCAAACCGUAUAUGCUAUAUUUUUAAAACAAUAUUUCUCUUCCAUGUGUUAAAUGUAAUAAUUGUUUUAGAUUAUUUAACUUGAUAUAUUACUAAGCUUUUUUUCCCUACUCAAACAAAAAGUACUCUUACAAUCAAAGAAACAUGUUUAUUGUUGUUGUUGAUUUAAUUUUCAAACACAUUUGAAGGACUCAAAACACAACCACUCUUUCAAACCUCAAAUAUCAACUAAGUUAUAAUCAGUAUCUUUUGUAUGGUAAGGCACUAGACCCAGAAUAACAGAAGAAAAACAAUGGAAGAUAAAUUUAAAAGUUAAUGGAAGAAAACAUAAUUAUGGAGAGUUACAACUAUUACAUGUUUACUUUUAAACUGGUAAUUGAUAUCUAAAAUAAGUAAGGGUUUGAUAUGGGAAGAAUAGUAAACGGGAGAUAGGAGCACUAAUUUUAAGACACUUUUUUGACAUCAGUUAGUAAAACAAUUUUGGAAAAAAACAAUGAUCUAUGUUUCUUAAAUCUAAUUAAUUUAUAUUAUUUCAUAUAUAUUUUUUAAAAUGAGCUAUCCUUCAAAAUGCAACCGAUUAGAAUAUUUUACUAUCUUUUCUAUGAAGUUUAAGGUUUAAUAAGCUUUCACUUUAACUUUCUAAUACAAUGGAAUAAUUUCUAUUGUCAUUUUAUUGUGUAAUACUAUUGUAAAGCUUUAAAACAUAAAAAAAUACAAAAACAUAAAAUUUACAUUUUAUAUAAAGAUACAAUUUGUAAAACAAUUUAGAACAUAUUAUUCUAUUACAAUAAAUUAUCCUGCAAACUUUUAGGGUUGUUCUUUGCUUCUAAUAUCCCAUAUGAGAAUUUACUAAUCUUAAGCUGUCAGAUCUUACUUUUCUCACUUCCUUAACCAUAUUUUCUGCCUUCAUCUCACCCUUGCAUUCUCAAGCUUUCUUGACCUAUGGCAAAAUAAAUAUUAAUAUGAAUUCAUAGACAGAUGUAUAUUUAUAGAUCUGUGGAAGAUUAAUAUCUCAUAUCCAUUUUUUGUUGUAUUUAUUUAUGAAUUUAUUUAUUCAUGUGGCCCAGUUUGGCUUUUUGAAAUGAUAGCCUCAUGAAAUGUUUCAUAAUGAUAUCUUUAUUCUGUGACUGGAUUAAAAUUUAUGUUAUUUCUGUAAACUCAGUUUGAAUUACUCCAUCUUUGAUGUCUAUAGUAUGGAAUUAACACAGUGGAGUUUAUGUGCUUCAUGGGACCCUUAAGUGCAAACUUGUAAAAUCUUUCAUUAUUUCAAUAAUUACACAUGAUAAUAAUUUAGAGACAUGAGUGACAUCUAAACUUUGAAAACGGCAUUGUGCUCUUUCUAAAUGUAUUAUGGAGGAUUUCUCUCAUUUUUCUUGUCUUAAUUGUUUAAAUGCAUUUGAGCAAAGUUUCCA
RNAcentral lists this long non-coding RNA (2201 nucleotides) under Homo sapiens (human). Its description in RNAcentral is "HSALNT0312709". Lineage: Eukaryota; Metazoa; Chordata; Mammalia; Primates; Hominidae. The record is from RNAcentral.